AUCGCUUCUCAGCCUUUUGGCUAAGAUCAAGUGUAGUAUCUAUUAACAUUCCAGUAGUGAUUUCCAAAUUUGCCUCUACAAUAUAUGAUUAAUGUAACAUGUGUAGAUUUUAUGGAAAGCUGUAUUUUGGGGGGGUCUAAUGGGAGGCUUUGCUCCAUAUUAUUUCUACAUAAA
Molecule: small nuclear RNA, 174 nt
Organism: Anolis carolinensis (green anole)
Lineage: Eukaryota; Metazoa; Chordata; Lepidosauria; Squamata; Anolidae
Gene: U2
Rfam family: U2 spliceosomal RNA
About the family: U2 is a small nuclear RNA (snRNA) component of the spliceosome (involved in pre-mRNA splicing). Complementary binding between U2 snRNA (in an area lying towards the 5' end but 3' to hairpin I) and the branchpoint sequence (BPS) of the intron results the bulging out of an unpaired adenosine, on the BPS, which initiates a nucleophilic attack at the intronic 5' splice site, thus starting the first of two transesterification reactions that mediate splicing.
Source: Ensembl